GUUUUGAUAGUUUAAUAAAAACCUUGGUCUUGUAAUCCAAAAUUAAGAAUAAUCUUUCAAAACU
This 64-nucleotide transfer RNA is filed under the name Sinochlora sinensis. RNAcentral's name for it is "tRNA-Thr". It matches the Rfam family "tRNA". Rfam says of the family: Transfer RNA (tRNA) molecules are approximately 80 nucleotides in length. Their secondary structure includes four short double-helical elements and three loops (D, anti-codon, and T loops). Further hydrogen bonds mediate the characteristic L-shaped molecular structure. tRNAs have two regions of fundamental functional importance: the anti-codon, which is responsible for specific mRNA codon recognition, and the 3' end, to which the tRNAs corresponding amino acid is attached (by aminoacyl-tRNA synthetases). tRNAs cope with the degeneracy of the genetic code in two manners: having more than one tRNA (with a specific anti-codon) for a particular amino acid; and 'wobble' base-pairing, i.e. permitting non-standard base-pairing at the 3rd anti-codon position. RNAcentral also lists the same sequence under 3 other names. The record is from RNAcentral. Lineage: Eukaryota; Metazoa; Arthropoda; Insecta; Orthoptera; Tettigoniidae.